RNAcentral lists this ribosomal RNA (397 nucleotides) under uncultured bacterium. RNAcentral's name for it is "partial 16S ribosomal RNA". It matches the Rfam family "Bacterial small subunit ribosomal RNA", at positions 523 to 918 of the family's 1533-position model. The record is from RNAcentral.
AUACGUAGGGGGCGAGCGUUGUCCGGAAUGAUUGGGCGUAAAGGGCGCGUAGGCGGCCCGGUAAGUCUGGAGUGAAAGUCCUGUUUUUAAGAUGGGAAUUGCUUUGGAUACUGUCGGGCUUGAGUGCAGGAGGGGUAAGUGGAAUUCCCAGUGUAGCGGUGAAAUGCGUAGAGAUUGGGAGGAACACCAGUGGCGAAGGCGACUUACUGGACUGUAACUGACGCUGAGGCGCGAAAGUGUGGGGAGCAAACAGGAUUAGAUACCCUGGUAGUCCACACUGUAAACGAUGAAUGCUAGGUGUAGGGGGUAUCGACCCCUGCUGUGCCGCAGUCAACACAAUAAGCAUUCCGCCUGGGGAGUACGGCCGCAAGGUUGAAACUCAAAGGAAUUGACGGGG